RNAcentral lists this ribosomal RNA (1493 nucleotides) under uncultured bacterium. RNAcentral's name for it is "16S ribosomal RNA". It matches the Rfam family "Bacterial small subunit ribosomal RNA". The record is from RNAcentral.
GAUUCUGGCUCAGGAUGAACGCUGGCGGCAUGCCUAAUACAUGCAAGUCGAACGGAGUGAAGCCUUCGGGUUUCAUUCAGUGGCGAACGGGUGAGUAAUACGCAGGGAACCUGGCCAUGGCAGGGGGAUACACUCUGGAAACGGAGCAUAAGACCCCAUAGGCAGUAAGGCGGCAUCGCCUUGCUGUUAAAGAAAGCUGAAAGGCUUUGGCGAUGGAUGGACCUGCGGUGCAUUAGCUUGUUGGUGAGGCAACGGCUUACCAAGGCGAUGAUGCAUAGCCGGCCUGAGAGGGCGGACGGCCACACUGGGACUGAGACACGGCCCAGACUCCUGCGGGAGGCAACAGUAGGGAAUUUUCGUCAAUGGGCGCAAGCCUGAACGAGCAAUGCCGCGUGAGUGAGGAAGGUCUUCGGACUGUAAAGCUCUGUUGCCGGGGAAAAAGGGGAAAUGCAGGAAAUGGCAUUUCAUGGAUGGUACCCGGCCAGAAAGCCACGGCUAACUACGUGCCAGCAGCCGCGGUAAUACGUAGGUGGCGAGCGUUAUCCGGAAUGAUUGGGCGUAAAGGGUGCGCAGGCGGUCUGUUAAGUCUGAAGGCAAAGGGAUGAGCUCAACUCAUUUAUGAUUCAGAAACUGGCAGACUUGAGGACAGGAGAGGGCGGUGGAACUCCAUGUGUAGCGGUAAAAUGCGCAGAGAUAUGGAAGAACACCAGUGGCGAAGGCGGCCGCCUGGCCUGUGACUGACGCUGAGGCACGAAAGCGUGGGGAGCAAAUAGGAUUAGAUACCCUAGUAGUCCACGCCGUAAACGAUGAGGAGCAGGUGUUGGGAGUGAAAUCUCAGUGCCGAAGCCAACGCAGUGACUCCUCCGCCUGGGGAGUAUGCACGCAAGUGUGAAACUCAAAGGAAUUGACGGGGGCCCGCACAAGCGGUGGAGUAUGUGGUUUAAUUCGAAGCAACGCGAAGAACCUUACCAGGUUUUGGCAUCGGAUGCGAAGGCGCAGAGAUGCGCUGGAGGCUAUCAUCCAGACAGGUGGUGCAUGGUUGUCGUCAGCUCGUGUCGUGAGAUGUUCAGUUAAGUCUGGCAACGAGCGCAACCCCCGUGGUAUGUUACUAACGCAUUUGGGCGAGGACUCAUAUCAGACUGCCGGUGACAAACCGGAGGAAGGCGGGGAUGACGUCAAAUCAUCAUGCCCCUUAUGACCUGGGCUACACACGUACUACAAUGGCGUCUACAGAGGGAAGCGACCCUGAGAAGGGAAGCGAAACCGGAAAAGGGCGUCCCAGUUCGGAUUGAAGUCUGCAACCCGACUUCAUGAAGAUGGAAUCGCUAGUAAUCGCGGAUCAGCAUGCCGCGGUGAAUACGUUCCCGGGCCUUGUACACACCGCCCGUCAAACCAUGGAAGCCGGCAACGCCCGAAGCCGGUGGCAUAACCUUUUAGGAGUGAGCCGUCGAAGGCGGGGCCGAUGACUGGGGUUAAGUCGUAACAAGGUAGCC